Fragaria vesca subsp. vesca is the source of this 646-nucleotide RNA transcript. RefSeq lists it as uncharacterized. The transcript is spliced from 2 exons. Lineage: Eukaryota; Viridiplantae; Streptophyta; Magnoliopsida; Rosales; Rosaceae. The record is from RefSeq and is a predicted model, not a curated record.
AUUCUCCUUCGAUCUGAGAAAUACACUGCGCCUUCACUGCUGCACCUUCGCCUCCAUUCUCCUCCGUCGCUGCUGGGCCUUCUCCUCCAUUCUCCUUCGUCGCUGCUGCGCCUUCGCCUCCAUCGCUGCGGAUCGUUUUGCAUCUGUUGGGGCCUUUGCGUGGGUUUGCGUUGCCUUUGCUGCGCCUCCAUUGUUUUGCUGCGUCUCUUGGAGGUCUGCUGCCUAGCAAAUCUGAGAAACGAUUUGGGUUCAAAGUUUUUCAUUUAAGAAGCAAGUGAAGAUUGUUAUUGCAACCAUGACUCUUCAUAAUUAUAUACGAAGACAUGCGAAUCAUGAUAGGCAUUUUGACAUUGACAAAAAUUCGAUUGGCAUAUCAAGUGAUGUGAUGGAGAUGGAUGAUGCAGAAGAAAAAAAUCAUGGUCAUGUUGCACAAGAAAUGGAAGCAAUAAGAAAAGAAAUUGCUCAAAGUUUGAUGAGAGCACGUGGGACCGUAAAUUUUUAUAUGUGUCAAGAUAUUUUUGUUUGUUACUUGAUACAUAUGAACAAAGUAUUUUGAUAUGUUGGUAUCAUGAAUGUUUUGAUGUGUUAAACAAUCUUUUGUUACUACUUUAUGUUACUUUAAGACAUGGUUUGCAGGUUAUUAAUG